This 433-nucleotide ribosomal RNA is filed under the name uncultured bacterium. RNAcentral's name for it is "partial 16S ribosomal RNA". It matches the Rfam family "Bacterial small subunit ribosomal RNA", at positions 29 to 507 of the family's 1533-position model. The record is from RNAcentral.
AACGAACGCUGGCGGCAUGCCUAACACAUGCAAGUCGAACGAGACCUUCGGGUCUAGUGGCGCACGGGUGCGUAACGCGUGGGAACCUGCCCUUAGGUUCGGAAUAACUCCCCGAAAGGGGUGCUAAUACCGGAUAAUGUCUUCGGACCAAAGAUUUAUCGCCUUUGGAUGGGCCCGCGUUGGAUUAGCUAGUUGGUAGGGUAAAAGCCUACCAAGGCGACGAUCCAUAGCUGGUCUGAGAGGAUGAUCAGCCACACUGGGACUGAGACACGGCCCAGACUCCUACGGGAGGCAGCAGUGGGGAAUAUUGGACAAUGGGUGAAAGCCUGAUCCAGCAAUGCCGCGUGAGUGAUGAAGGCCUUAGGGUUGUAAAGCUCUUUUACCCGGGGUGAUAAUGACAGUACCGGGAGAAUAAGCUCCGGCUAACUCCGUG